UACGGAGGGUGCAAACGUUGCUCGGAAUUAUUGGGCGUAAAGCGCACGUAGGCGGUUCGUUAUGUCGGAUGUGAAAGCCCUGGGCUUAACCCAGGAAGUGCAUCCGAAACUGGCGAGCUUGAGUACGGAAGAGGGUCUCGGAAUUCCCGGUGUAGAGGUGAAAUUCGUAGAUAUCGGGAGGAACACCAGUGGCGAAGGCGGAGACCUGGGCCGAUACUGACGCUGAGGUGCGAAAGCGUGGGGAGCAAACAGG
Molecule: ribosomal RNA, 253 nt
Filed under: uncultured bacterium
Lineage: Bacteria
Description: partial 16S ribosomal RNA
Rfam family: Bacterial small subunit ribosomal RNA
Source: RNAcentral